CAGGGCUGGGGAAGGGCUGCUGGUACCUCGUGCCAGCCAGCCUCACCCGUGCCCGAGAUCAACGCCCCGGCGGGCUCCAUGCGGGGCCCAUCCUGUGCAGUAACAGGUGUGAGCAUUCAUGCAGCGUUUUGAUGGUCAUGUAUGAUACUGCACACACCA
This 159-nucleotide small nucleolar RNA is filed under the name Tauraco erythrolophus (red-crested turaco). RNAcentral describes it as "Small Cajal body specific RNA 16". It matches the Rfam family "Small Cajal body specific RNA 16". Rfam says of the family: scaRNAs are a specific class of small nuclear RNAs which localise to the Cajal bodies and guide the modification of RNA polymerase II transcribed spliceosomal RNAs U1, U2, U4, U5 and U12. ACA47 belongs to the H/ACA box class of guide RNAs as it has the predicted hairpin-hinge-hairpin-tail structure, the conserved H/ACA-box motifs and is found associated with GAR1. Lineage: Eukaryota; Metazoa; Chordata; Aves; Musophagiformes; Musophagidae. The record is from Rfam by way of RNAcentral.